CCCAACAUAAUAUUUCUAUCUUUGUAAGGAUAUUCUAAAACUUUUUCAUUUUUCAUCUUUGUCAUGGCUUCCGUAACAGUGGAAUUGGACGAUGGCGUUGCAAAAGAAUCAAUGAAAGUAAAAACGGAAUUCAAACUGAACCCUACAAUGAUUCCAAGAAAUACAGCCCAUGAUAGCAAAACAUACAAUGGAUAUAAAGUAAUUCCGACCAUUAAAAUGAAUCUUGCAGGCGCACGAAUAAAGUACCAAUACACGCUUUGAACCAAAAGAAUAGCAGGAUCAGCAAGGAUCCAUAAAAAUAGGCUCACAAUUCGUAAAAUAAAUAUUACAACUGUUCUUAUUGUGAGAAAACCUGGAAGUAGUACAUUACCAAAGACCUUCAAGCUAACGUUCCAGGAAAUGACAGCGCUCACAUAUAGGAUGGUAGAUAGAAUUUUAAGGCUUCUUAAUAAGUAAUUGAGCACUACAGCUCUGACUACAGUCCAUAUAGUUUCAAAGCCCUCAAUAAACGAGAGAUCCAU
Schizosaccharomyces pombe (fission yeast) is the source of this 521-nucleotide non-coding RNA. Lineage: Eukaryota; Fungi; Ascomycota; Schizosaccharomycetes; Schizosaccharomycetales; Schizosaccharomycetaceae. The record is from the annotation of a GenBank genome assembly.